AAACUGGAAGGUCUGAGUGUGUUUGAGGAGGGAGAGAGAGAGGGGAGCAAAGGGGAGGAACUCGUUCACAGUGACGGCAGACGCCCUCAUGAGCCUCUCCUCUUCUGCUGCUCCUCCUGCUGGUAACCAUGGCAACCACACUGACGGUCGUUAUGCUGAAGCUGGAGACACACGGGAUUUAAAUGCUUCUAUAGAGCUAUACCGAUUGACUGCCAGCGUGAUGGAGUGGUUAAAACAGCUUGACAGCACAAGGGUCGCCACAGCGGAAUGAACCGCCAACUAUUCCAA
Molecule: non-coding RNA, 288 nt
Organism: Danio rerio (zebrafish)
Lineage: Eukaryota; Metazoa; Chordata; Actinopteri; Cypriniformes; Danionidae
Source: RefSeq, a predicted model, not a curated record